RNAcentral lists this transfer RNA (93 nucleotides) under Mycolicibacterium madagascariense. RNAcentral's name for it is "tRNA-Phe". Lineage: Bacteria; Bacillati; Actinomycetota; Actinomycetes; Mycobacteriales; Mycobacteriaceae. The record is from RNAcentral.
CCGGCCAUCAGUUCGUACGGCAGGGUGCCGAGUUCGAAGCGCUCGGGCACGUCGUCGGUGGCGGGCAGCAGCUUCGCAGGCCGCAGGUCGGCC